Molecule: RNA transcript, 14240 nt
Organism: Ctenopharyngodon idella (grass carp)
Lineage: Eukaryota; Metazoa; Chordata; Actinopteri; Cypriniformes; Xenocyprididae
Gene: dnmt3aa
Gene name: DNA (cytosine-5-)-methyltransferase 3 alpha a
Exons: 24
Source: RefSeq, a predicted model, not a curated record
UCCUUCCCGCUGACGGGCCUCUGCGGCGUCUGAGAGCCCGAGACGGCGGAGAGGAGCAGGCCGGUGCCGGGGAGGGUCAGGACGGGGAGAGACGCGGAGGGAAGACGGGCAGUUCGCGACCACCGGAGGGUUCAGGCCCGGGGCUGCAUGGCGAAACGGGGAGAAGAAGGAUUUGAUGGUCUGAAGGUGGAUCAGUUUCAUCGCCACAAAAGUCUCUCAGCAUUUUAAUGUCUUUUAUUUCAUUUGUGUUGAUUUCAAAUGCAUCGAUCAGGCCUGUAGUGUGUUUUUGUUUCAUCAUGCCUCUCGAUCUGGACUGUGACGCAGCGGCAAACAAAACGAGUCCAGAGGCGGAACAGGAAGUGUGUGAGGUCACACAUGAAGAGAGAGUGACUGACACACCAACACGAAGAGUCGGACGACCCGCUCGAAAACGCAAAGCACCAGGAUUGGAUAGUUGUGGGCGUGUAAUAGAGGGUGUGGCCUGUAUAAAGCAGGCGGGGUGUAACGGUGAAGCAGACAGUCUGGAGCGGAACGACUCCUCCCCUGACUCCACCCACAGGAACAGCACAGACACGCCCCCCGGAGCAGACGAAGACUCUGCCCCCUCCACUCCACGGAAGAAACGAGGCCGACGGAAACUCGAGCACCCGGAGCGACACGUGGAGGAGGACGACACCAGCAGCGACACCAGCAGAGCAGAGAGCGAAGGGGGCCGUCUGAGGGGCCGGCAGGGCUGGGACAUCAGUCUGAGGAGACGGCCCGUACAAAGAGAGACCUUCCAGGCCGGAGAUCCUUAUCACAUCAGCCGCAGGGAGAAAGAGGAGUGGCUUGCCCGCUGGAAGAAAGUGAAGGAGGAGAAGGCCCAUCUGGUGCCCACCAUGAGUGACACAAUGGACGACCAAUCAGCAGUGAGUUCUCAGAAGGAGGAGGAGGAGCCAGCCAUCAACCUCCCAUCCACACCUACACCUCAGCAGCAGCACACUGACCCCGCCUCCCCAACGGUUGCCACGACGCCUGAGGCGCCUCCUGUCGCCUGCGGUAACAAAGUGAUGACAAGGUCCUCAGAGAUGGAUCAGGAAUAUGAGGAUGGCCGUGGGUUCGGGAUCGGAGAGCUCAUCUGGGGAAAGUUACGGGGAUUCUCCUGGUGGCCCGGCCGGAUCGUGUCGUGGUGGAUGACGGGUCGCAGUCGGGCCGCUGAAGGAACCCGCUGGGUCAUGUGGUUUGGAGAUGGCAAAUUCUCAGUGGUGUGUGUGGAAAAGCUGUUGCCCUUGAGUACAUUUUGCACAUCUUUUCAUCAGCCCACCUACAACAAACAACCCAUGUACAGAAAAGCCAUCUAUGAAGUUUUACAGACGGCGAGUACGCGUGCAGGUAAACCGUUCCCUGUAUGUGUGUCCACCGAUGACUCAGACUCGGUGAAGGGUGUAGAACUGCAGACGCGACAGAUGAUUGAAUGGGCCAGCGCUGGGUUCCUCCCCUCCGGUGCCAAAGGCCUGGAGCCGCCACCAGCGGAGCGGAAUCCUUAUACUGAGGUGUAUCCAGAGAUGUGGGUGGAGCCUGAGGCUGCUGCGUACACAGCUCCGCCCCCUGCCAAGAAACCCAGGAAGAACAGUGUUGAGAAACCCAAAAUUAAAGAGAUUAUAGAUGAAGGAACCCGAGAGAGACUCGUGUAUGAAGUCAGACAGAAGUGUCGCAAUCUAGAAGAUAUCUGUAUUUCCUGUGGAAGUCAGAACGUAUCACUUGAACAUCCUCUGUUUAUUGGAGCCAUGUGCCAGAGCUGCAAGAACUGUUUCCUGGAGUGCGCGUAUCAGUACGACGAUGACGGUUAUCAGUCGUACUGCACCAUCUGCUGUGGAGGAAGAGAAGUGCUCAUGUGCGGGAACAACAACUGCUGCAGGUGUUUCUGUGUGGAGUGUGUAGAUCUGUUAGUCGGGGCCGGUUCGGCACAGGCCGCUAUCCGUGAAGACCCCUGGAACUGCUACAUGUGCUGCAGCAGGAACGUCUUCGGCCUUCUGAGGCGCAGAGACGACUGGACCUCACGACUGCAGCUGUUCUUCGCCAACAACCACGACCAGGACUUUGAACCACCAAGGUUGUAUUCUCCAGUAGCGGCUGAGAAGAGGCAGCCAAUCAGAGUGCUUUCUUUAUUUGAUGGCAUCGCUACAGGGCUGCUGGUGCUGAAGGAUCUGGGUAUUCAGGUGGCGCGGUAUGUGGCAUCAGAGGUGUGUGAAGACUCCAUCACGGUGGGGAUGGUGCGACACCCGGAAGGGAUCAUUUAUGUGGGCGAUGUGAGGAACGUCACACGCAAGCAUAUUCAGGAGUGGGGGCCUUUUGAUCUUGUGAUCGGUGGGAGCCCCUGCAACGAUCUGUCCAUCGUAAACCCUGCCAGGAAAGGCCUCUACGAGGGCACCGGGCGUCUGUUUUUUGAGUUCUACCGGCUGCUUCACGAAGCGCGACCCAAAGACGGAGACGACCGACCGUUCUUCUGGCUGUUUGAAAAUGUUGUUGCCAUGGGAGUCAGUGACAAAAGGGACAUCUCUCGCUUUCUGGAGUGUAAUCCAGUAAUGAUCGACGCUAAGGAGGUGUCAGCCGCACACAGAGCUCGAUACUUCUGGGGCAACUUACCUGGAAUGAACCGGUACAAUCUACAAUAUGAGCCACUGACUGCCAUGGCAAAUGAUAAACUCGACCUGCAAGACUGUCUGGAGCAUGGACGCACAGCUAAGUGUCCCCGACUAAGCAAGCCAGAGGCGACAGUGGCAAGAACCCAAACUCCAUCAGGUGACAGAAUGGAGAAAAAAACCUUGGGAAAAACCAGGCUCAGUCGGGAGGCCAGUCCUCCUCUGGCCAACGAAAGAACACGUUCGGCAAAGUGCGAACCAUCACAACUCGCUCAAACUCCAUAAAACAGGGCAAAGACCAGCACUAUCCCGUCUAUAUGAACAAUAAAGAGGAUAUCCUGUGGUGCACCGAGAUGGAGAGAGUGUUCGGCUUCCCCGUCCAUUACACUGACGUGUCUAACAUGAGUCGUCUCGCCAGGCAAAGGCUUCUGGGAAGGUCAUGGAGUGUGCCCGUGAUUCGCCACCUCUUCGCUCCGCUGAAGGAAUACUUCGCCUGUUUCUGAAGCUCCGCCCACCACACGGCAUGAUGGCGUCGUGACGUCCCUCCUCUUCCUUUCCUUUCCAAUAAGCUCCACCUUCUUGUGUUCAUUUAUUUUUACUCGUGGCCUGUGAAUGUCUGGUGCUAUCCCAAGAUUAAUAUUCGACCCACUAGACAGCCACACUUCACAUAUUUAUUUGGAGUCCACAUUUUUAAUUUUCUUGUAUUUUAUUGUCCGUCGUUUUAGGGGUUUUUUUGGUCAUGUUCCAACUGUGACAACUCUCUCUCUCACAAAACUGACAGAGACAAAAUGUGAGUGUGUUUGCAAGUGUAUGUUUGUCCGAGCGUGAAAAUAUAGAGCACAAACCGCUGGUUAACUAGUGUGAAACAGAAGCAGAUGCUCUCUGAAUACUCGAACCGGGCGAGUCCUGUUCCCCGACCCUAAAUCUGAUGUUGCAGCGUAAACUAACUAGGUAAGAUGUGGCAACUUUCAAGCAUCAUGCAUCAAGUCAUUGUUCUGACCUCACUGAAAGCAAAAUGCUGCGGUGAAGAGUCAAAAUCACACUGAACAUAUUUAAUGUUUUAUAUAUCUCACGGAAAAUAUGUGCAGGUCAUGCUUCACCCUAAUAUCAAAAGAAAAAAAUGAGAAAUUAUAAACAGCACCAUGAUUUUUAUGACAAAAGCACAUUUCCCCCUCCCAAAUUUCAUAAUAAAUAAAUAUAUAUAUAUAGGUGCUAUCAAACGAUUAAUCGCAAUUAAUCGCAUCCAAAAUAAAAGUUUGUUUUUACAUAAUAUAUAUGUGUGUACUGUGUAUAUUUAUUAUGUAUAUAUACAUAAACAUGUAUACAUAAAUAUUUCUUAAAUACAUACAUGUGUGUGUGUGUAUUUAUAUAUACAUAAUAUCAUUAGAGGUCGACCGAUAUUGGAUUUUACCGAUACCGAUAACUAGGUUGGAACAUACUUGCCGAUAACCGAUUAAUCAGUCGAUAGUUUUUAAAAUGGAUACUGGAUAAAUAAUAAUAAUAAUAAUAAUAAAAUAACACUAAGUAAAACAGUGCUGAACUUUUUGUAUAAAUAAGUACUGUUCUGUCAAAAUGUGCUAUAUGAAUAUAUUAAUUAUAUAAAUAAAUAUUACUUUCUUUGCCUCUAUUUUAGAACACUUGAUGAUCAUCUAAUCCAAAUACCAAAAUAUGUAUUGCAGUGAUGAUAAAGAAAUGAAAUCAGAUGCGUUUCUGAUUUGUUUAUGUUUCUGUCGGCUGCAUGAACUUUCACACAUCGCUUUAAAUAUGCAACUUCGCUGGCUAAUGAAAGCAUAAAAGUGACCAGCUGAAUAUACACUAGUGCAAAUAGAUGAAAACAAUCGUGACGUUAAACAUUUGGGUCGGAUUUGCGUGCAUUUUGUCAUGUGGUUUCAAACGCUUGAGGUGCUACUAAUGUUAGCGUCCUCUCAGCCUGAUCGUAAACAUAGGGUAGCCUAGUGUACUGCUGUUUUUUCUCUGCUAAUGCAGCAUCUAGUCAGCAAAUUAAUUACUUUAUAAUGAUAUGACAACAUGUACUGUAUUCAUACCGCUGUUGGUGUUUUAAAUGCUUAUCUGAAGUGUCAGCGAUCUCCUGCCGCGUGUGCUCUCUGUGCAGCACUCAGCCUCACGUGUCAAAGUAAACAACAGCGCAGUGUUAGUAUUUAUUUGGCCACUAGAGGCUGCUAUUCUACUGUAUGAUGAUACCCUUUUCAGCCGCUGCAGUCUCCUAUAGCCAAAGUCCUUUUAAGACAAGUCAUUUCACUCAGCAGCCAUCUCUCAAAUGCCUCUCAGGCAUUCAAGUGCAGCUCCUAUAUUUUUGAAUGGGGAAACAUCAAAUUCUCCAAAGUUGUUUAUCAUAUCAUAUUUGAAAUCACCAAUGAAGUCUGACAACAACUGUCUCAUAAAUUUUGUUUCUAAACGCUCAAAUCAUGACAAAAAAACCUGUAUUUUUCAGGCUGGAUCAAGCUAAUGCGCAUGCACAGUCCUAAAUGCACGUCUCUUGUGCCUCAUUUCGGAGGCACGAGUCUGACCGUUUCUAUAGGAACCGGAGCUUCUAACGGCUGCUGCAGUGACGCGAUGACUUUACCAAUCGGCGAUUGGCUCUUAUUUAGAAGGUGUUACUGAACAAAGCAUUUAAAAAAAAAAAAAAGCUUUUAUUUAGAAGGCGGGACUUAUUCCACCAUAUUGCGCGUUGCACUUUCUCCCAUUCAAAACAAUACGAGUGACGCAUCUUGUGUUAUUCUAUAGUCUUUGCUAUAGACCUUAUGCGCCAGAGAAACAAGUGCGCCGCCAUCUUUAUAAUAUUGUCUUUGAACUUCCGUUUUUUGCGGUAGCCCUGUAUAUUUCUAUGGCAUGGCUGUCAAAGAGUAACUAGCUGGUGAAGUGGAUUUAUUUGUUGUAGAGUUAAUGAAAGUUAUGAGCAUUGUAAUGUUUAAAGCCGAUGUCUUAAAUGUCAGUAGACCGGGAAGAUUUUAAAACGAGCAAUUCAUUCAUAAAUACAAAAUCGCUGUGGAAAUACAAACCGGAAGUCAAAAGACAACGAGCGCAACGCUGAAAAGGGGCGAGGCUACAUAAGGUCUAUAGCUCUUGCAACAGACGCAACCCGGAAAAACUGUCGGCAUGCCGAUAACUGCUAAUACCUGAUUGUUCCACCAAUCAACUAUUGGUGCCGAUUAAUCGGCAAACCCGAUAAAUUGGUCGACCUCUAAAUAUCAUGUUUAUGUACAUUUAUGUAUACGUGUAUAUUUAUAUUUUUAUAUUUAUAUAUAAUUUAUAUUAUAUAAAAAUAUAAAUAUUCAUUUCCCAAAUUUCAUUGUAAUAUGAAGCUGUAAUAUUAUAUAUAUAUAUAUAUAUAUAUAUAUAUUACAAUAGUAGUUAAACAUCCAGAUGCAUUAUGGUAAUGAGAAUUUCGGGGGAAAUGUGGUUAAAGUUGUUAUAAAAAUAAAAAUAAAUCCAAAAGGUCCUAAAAAUAGGUUUUCUUUUUCGAUUUUUUGGAUGAAAUUUUACCUCAGACAUAUUUACAUGAGAUUAAGCAUUAAGCAGUGCUGUGUAUUAUUUCUAUCAUUACAUGUAUAGAAAUCAGGUGAAUCGCGGUUAGUUUGGACAGCCUUAUAUUAACAUUAUCACUUGCCGAUUUAUCAUGUCGUGCCUGGUUAGGAUACGUGUCUGUAACAUCAACGCAAACAUCAUUUUCAUGCAUAAACACACUUUUCCUGUGAGAGAGAAGAUGUGCUUGAAGAAUCAACAAUACACUGUUUACAGGUUACGCUCUUAAUACGGUACUACUAAACUACAGUAACUAUUCACUCAACUCCACUAACUCGACUAUGGUGCUCUCUCUCUCUCUCUCUCUCUCUCUCUCUCUGUCUCCCUGUUUCUCUCAGCAAUACAAACGCAGCACACAGUCCUGUAUGAUGCCUUUCUGCUGGAGCCUAUAGGGCACAUGUGAGAGAGCUGUGUCACAUCACACACACACACACAUGCACGCUGAGAGCUGUUACACACUCAUACACAUUCAUGUAAAAGGAUAGGGUAAAAUUAAUUUACUCACCCUCACCGAAGAAAGUAAGUCAUACAGAUUUGUAAUGACACGAGGGUUAGUAAAGAAGACAGAAAUUUCAUUUUGGGAGUGAAAUACUUCUUUGUGAGAGAAGUUUAUUUUCUUUGUAAGAUCAUGUCGUUUGCUGUCGUCUCUGAUGCAAUAUUCCGCCAGCAGACAGAAGCUGACCUUCCGCAUGGAAUUAUUUGCAUCCGAUUCUGCCAGAUCUUGCCGUUUUCACUCCACACUCUUUCAGACACCACCACUCUUACUGUGUUCAAUGUUUGUGUGUGUUCAGUCAGGUAUCAGGGAUGUUGUGUAGUUUUUAGCCCCUGCAUGCGUUUCUCCUGUCAGUGCAGGAACUCAGUGGUGCCGCAGAUACUCCAUGGUGCAGCUUCAUGGUGCUUCGUUCUCACUCUCUCCUGACUUGCUUUCUGCUCCCGGUUCAGCUCGGCUACGUUCACACCGUAGCUGCAUGUGGCCCAUAUCUGUUUUUUGACAACAGUGUGAGUAAAAAUUACAUUUUCAUCUUCCAACAAAGAAACUUUCUUGCGUGGAAAUUGAUUUCAGUGUGAACAGACUGGUUCAUGCAAUUUUUAACAUACACUACCAUUCAAAAGUUUGGGGUCAGUAAGAUUUUUUUUAAGGAAAUUGAUGCUUUUAUUCAGCAAGGAUGCAUUUAAUAGAAUAAUAGUGACAGUAAGGACGUUUAUAACGUUACAAAAGAUUCUAUUUCAAAUAAAUGCUGUUCUUUAGAACAUUCUAUUCAUUAAAGAAUUCUGAAAAAAAUGAAUCACGGGUUCCACAAAAUAUGAAGCAGCACAACUGUUUUCAACAUUGAUAAUAAUAAGAAAUGUUUCUUAAGCAGCAAAUUAUCAUAUUAGAAUGAUUUCUGAAGGAUCAUGUGACACUGAAGACUGGAGUAAAGAUGCUGAAAAUUCAAAAAUAAAUGACAUUUUAAAAUAUAUUCAAAUAGAAAAUUGGGAAUUGUGAUAAUAUUUCACAAUAUUACUGUUUUUAUUGUAUUUUUGAUUAAAUAAAUGAAGCCUGACUUCUUUAAAAAAAAAAUUUAAAAAAUCUUAUCGAUCCCAAACUUUUGAAUGGUAGUGUAGUUGCAUUCUUAACUCUUUCCUUGCCAGCGUUUAAAUAAAUGAAUAAAUAUUGCCAGCCACCAUCAGCCUUUUUGCUAAUUUUUGCAAAAAUUUCACGGCCCCCGAAGACUACAACAUGCAUAAGCAAUGCUUUUAUCGCUUGUUUCUGCUCCUUUUUUGCCUGUGUUUUGAUCCGGAGAUUCUGUACUCUUUCAGAAAAUGCAUAAUAGCGCCCCCUACCGUAUAACAGUGAAGAAACGGAAUGAGACGCUGCGUCUCGUUCCCUUUCUCAGGGAACUAUGGUUACAUACGUAACCUGAGACGUUUCCUUUCGAGGGAACUCGCGCUGCGUCCGAUAGGAUCGUUUUGGGAACGAUAUACCAAAACGCCAUAAUCACAAAUACCUGUCUGUGUGAAACCCUGGCACACUUAAGACAGUAAAACCGAUGAUCCUGGAGCCGUGUCCAGGUCAAGGUCAUAAUACCUCACAAAUGUGAGAGGCGAGGACCAACCGGCCGCAUCACAGAUCUCUUUGAGGGAAACCCCCGAAAUUAAGGCCUUGGAGGCUGCCAUACUCCUAGUCGAAUGAGCUAAUGGACACUGCUGGCCAGAGACCUCGUAGGCGAGUUAAAUAGCCUCAACUAUCCACUUGCUUACAGUGUGUUUGGAUGCAGGACGACCCCUGUUAUGUGGUCCAAAGCACACAAAUAACUGGUCUGCUUUCCUCCACAGGGCAGCUCUGUGGACAUUUCCAGACUUAUCCCUUCCUGGCGAACUUUCUCCAGAACUGCCGGGAGCAGAACAACUGGGGGAAAUGCAUACAGACGCAGCCUCGGCCACGUCUGUACCAUGGCAUCCAGUCCCAGAAGAGCUGGAUGUGUGAGGGAGAAUCAAAGUAGACAGUGCGUCUUAUCCUGAGACUCGAACAGAUCCACUUCCGCUUGGCCAUAAAUCUCCCAUAUGAGCUUCACCACCUCUGGGCGAAGUCUCCAUUCCCCUGGCCUCAGCCCCUGCCUCGACAGGAUGUCUGCUCCAAUAUUGUGAGUCCCUGGAAUAUAGACUGCUCGAUUCAGAUGUCGUAGAUCUAAAAUAGGGCGCAACCCCCCAUCCUUUUUUGGAACCAAGAAAUACUGGCUGUAAAACCCCAACUCCCUGUCACUCCCUCUUUUGCUAAUAAGGUUUUUAUUUCUUGCUCCAACACCAGAGCCUGCUGUGGAAGUACUGUCGUUUGCAGCACUCCUUUGAAUAGAGGUGGGCGGCACCAAAACUGGAUUUUGUAACUUUUCUCUAUAAUUUGCAGGACCCAACGUGAGAUAUUUUGAAGAGAUUUCCAAUCUACCAGAAAAUCUACUAAGGGAACCAGCCUCUCGAGGCUGGCCUCUGGUGUAUUGUUUACAGCACAUUUUUGAUGUAAAUUUAUCCUCCUCAGAGGAUGUGAAUGUGACGCAGCGUCGUGUUGUUCUGAACUUUGCGUCACUAUCACGGUGGGAACCGCUGCGCCCCGAAGCACCAGAGGUGGCGGGGUUGGCAGAACGGCCUCCUGAGGGCCACGAGGUGGGACGGGCACCGCAUACUGAGGUGUGUACCGCAUCACCCCAUGUGGGGAUGCCCUCAGAAGUAAAAAGCACUCAUCCAGUUUGCUUUUCGGACGAGCGCCCUGUUUCUCAGCUGGCCAUUCAAUGCUUAACUUUGACAACACCUCCAUAAUAUCUAACACCUCCACCAGCUCCUCGUACUCUGGGGAAAGUGAUGGUGAAUCAUCUUCCCCCAUAUCGAUGCUCAACACAUCCAAUUCCUCAGAACUGGAGUGUUGACGCGACGAGCCCUCUCCCUAGGCGGAAGAAACCGCGGGAUGGGCUUCCGACACCAGAGAGGGGGUGGCGGAUCUGCCAGGUGAAGGCUGAGAAAGUGCACUCAUGCCUGUCUCAAGCCCUGCUGACAGAUCCAUCUGCGAACCCCACGACAUCUUUCUCCACGCUGCCUCGGCAGCCGCGGGUCCAGAGUCGUGGGGAACGCUUGCCUGCGCACUUUCCUCGAAAAGUGCGAGGCGGGAGCGGAGCAUCCUUAGAGGAAGCUUCUCACAAUGCUCGCAUUCAGCCCCCUCGAAGGCUGAAAGAGCAUGCUCCGCUCCCAAACACACCACGCACAAAUCGUGUGUAUUCCCACCCGUAAGGAAACGAGGGAAGGGAAGAGCACACGGUUUAAAUGCUUGAGUGUUCGCCAUAAUAACGGUUAUAUUGAGCUGUACUAUUUCGGGACAGACAACAAUAAAUAGACAAGACAGUUUUACACAGAGUGCUUGGCUGAGGCAGAAAAGCUGAAGCUGGUCUCGUCGGAUGUGUAUUUAUCCUUUCCUGGUCGUGACGUCACCCGAUCGUGACGUUCACUCUCGCCAUUGGACUAGUUGACAGACGUGCAUCAGACGCUAUCACGCUGAGGGCGUUCCCAAAGCAAUCCUAUCGGACGCAGCGCGAGUUCCCUCGAAAGGGAAUUGUGUAAAUGGCGGGAAAGCAGUCUCAUAAAUGACAGAAAAUUCCGUAUGGUGGGGAAAGAGUUAAUUUAACUUGCUAUAAAUUAAAAUAAUUCUUAACUUUUACUAAAUAAAGUUUAAAAAAGGAAAUUGUAAUAUUUAUAAUAUUAAAAUAAUACAAUAUCUUUCUUUAUGAAAUAUAAUGGGGUCCUAAAGUCUGAGGCCAAAUUGGAUUCAAAUUGUAAUUUAAGCAUAUUUUAUUUUAGAAUCUGAAUCAGGCUCUUGCGGUGUGAACGCAGCCUUUCUCUCUCUCGUGCUGAACUGCGUGCAGAUCAGCCCGCGUGCUAAUCUACAGGCUGAAAUGCAUUGUGUUUCUACCGUUCUGGUUUUUGAUAGUCUGAUUUAUUCAGUGCUCCUUGCUCGGGAUUCUGGGAAAGUGGCCCAUCUGUGUGAUGUCAUAAAAGCUGGUCACAUGGUGCUCCCAGAAUCCAGAGUCCUCUUCUGGUGCAAUUGGAGAGUUCACACUUGGAUUACGUGCAAACUGGAUUACUGUACAACUCUACUACGUGUGCUGUUUUAUAAUCCUGUUUCAGAUCUGAAGUAAACAGGACUCUGGUGCUCACAGAGAUGUGCUACGAAACCGAGGAUUUUUGUACGAAUUUGAUUAAUUAAAUUGGCCCUCGCUGGAGGGAAGAGUUUAUACAGAUCACAUUACAACCGGGAAAGGACACUUUUUUGGUUUCUCUAAUCAAACUAGCACAUUAGACUACUUCUUAUUUGAGGGUUGCUCAUUUCUUUGAACUUUUGGCUGAUAUGUUGAAACCAGUCAACCAACUCAUUACCUUAAAGACAGUUUUAUUUUUUGCAGAUUCAGAUUCAGACCUGAAUGGUUAUAUUAUAUCACAGUUGAUGUUGAAAUAUGCUUAUGGCCCACAGGUUAUAGUAAACUUCUGCUUUAGCUCAUGCUCAGAAACCGAUCUUAAAGGAAAACAUCCUGCCUUUUAGACAGUUGAAGUUAUUGGAUUGUUGCUUGAUUAUAAUAAUUCACUUUGGGCAAAUGUGAUUCAAAACACCUUGUUAUUUUAGUCCAUUUUUGUCUAAUUUGAGAGAAUAAGUGUCUAGUAUUCUCAAUUUGCCAUGUUUAAGUGCAAAAAAGUUGGCUUAUUCUGUCUACAAUGCCUCGCAGAGAUAACACCGACAAUUUUUGUUGGGUUUUGAAGACAAAUGUCAGCCCAACCCCUUUAACCCUAAACAUUUUAUUUUGCUCUAAUAUCAUUUAGGGUGUGUUCACACUUGUAGUUCAGUUUUCUUGGUUCUUUUGGUCCAAAAAAAGAAAAUACAUUCAGUCCUGGUUCACUUAGCAUUCACAAUGUCAUUUUUAAGAUCGAACCUAAAGAUACAAAACAAAAAAACGGCUUUGUACUGGGCUAAACAUGGUAUUUUUACCAGCUGAGAGCUUGUAAAAUGUGUAAAGAAGUCAAAACUGUGCCAGGAAUUUCUGUUUCACACGAACGAAGAUCUGUUGCAAGGAGACUGUGUUUCCGACACCUGUACCGAACUGUGAUGGCCAACGUAGCUCCAGGUAUGCUUGAGCAAUCUGUCCUUUUUAGCGUCACGUCUUGUGACCAUCACGUUCUGUUUUGGAUUCAUUAUAUGUCUUUGGUCCUUGUUGCGUUCAUAUUUCAGUCGAAUCGCACCAGAGUUCAUUUGGAAGCGGACACCCCGAAUAGAUGGGUCUCGGUCCGCUUGUUGGGUGUGCACCAGGAUUCGGAUGUAAGCAUUCACAUUUGUUCAAAUGAACCACACUAACAGAGCAAUCGCACCAGAGUUCAUUUCAAUCAAACCAAACCUGCCAAGUCUAAGAGUUUUAAGAGUUAAAGAUGUAAAGCGAAUAUCUAAAAUGCAGGAUGUUCUCCUUUAAAGGUUCGCUUGGUAGGAUCCAACUCCUUUAGCGGGAUCUUUGUGGCACUGUGCUGGGUCGAACCGCUCGUAGCCUUAGAGUCUGUUUGUGUUCGUUUGGUGAAGGCUGGUGAAUCUCGUAACGCAACGUGAGGUUUGAUUGUUAUUAGUCGAGACUUCAGUGGUAAAUGAACUGUACAUAGACAAGUUUGCCUUUUUUUUUUUCUUUUUUUUUUUUUUUUUAGAAAUUUAUUACAUUUUGUGUGCUGGGUGUUUUUGAAUUAUUUUAGAGUAAUUAUGCCGUUAUUAUUGGCUAGUCUAUGAUUAUAUGCAUGGCUGUUAUAAUAAAGGGGGUGGAGCUGUGAGUCAGAGGUGGCCGUGUCCAAUAAAUUUGUAUUUAUGAACCCAUGUGAUUGACAGGUGAUGCGUUCGAGAGCCGACCAACCGUUGUCAGCUUUAAAGGAGGCAGGGGGUCUUGCGUGAGGUUAUUUUAGGAAUAAUAUCUCGAAGCAAAGAGACCGUGAGGGUUGUUUCAAAAAGGUGCUAUACAUUAUUCUUAAUAAAUGAUGAAUUAGAAAAGAAUGACAUGAAAGUAUAUCGUUGAGAAGUGACUUGGUCUUGACAAUGACUGUUUUAUGUUGUGUAGUCUUGAAAAAGCACUAUUAUUUUACUCUUUUAUGAAUAUAUUAACAAAAGGCAUUUUAACUUUGUACUUGACGAAAAUGUAAAAGUAAAAAAUAUGAAUAAAAAUGUACAGAUUCAUGUGUUUUAGCCUAGACAUUACUGUAGUAUGUGCCUCUCAGUAAGAAACAUUCAUUCAUACUGUAUUCGCAUGCUGCCUUCAGGUCACGUCGGAACGAUUCUAUUUACGAGUCGAGCGCACGUGAACGAACACUGUCGUAAUUGCAACUCUGGGUUUUCUUGAAUUUUUGAGUUUUGUGUCAAUUAAUCAAUCUUAUUGGUCAUAAUUUGGUUUUCAUUGCAAUUGUUGGCCGCAUAAUUUAGAUUGACGUGUUCUGUCGAAGAAAAUUAGCUAUAAAACGUGUCGGUUUAUGGGGAAACAAAACCACCCUUUCCAUCAUUCCCUGCACUUAAAGGGAUAGUUCACCCAGAAAUGAAAAUUAGCCCAUAAUUUACUCAACCUCAAGCCAUCCUAGGUGUAUAUGACUUUCUUCUUUCAGACAAACACAAGAGGUCAGAGGUCACUCUUCCACUGGAACUAGACUCGCGUACGGCCAUUACCGGAAGUUAGUGAUUAUAGUAAUAUGGAUAUUUUUCUUACAAAAAACGCAUCGCUUCACUUCAGAAGGCCUUUAUUAACCCCCUGGAGCUGUGUGGAUUACUUUUGUGAUGGAUAGAUGUGCUUUUUUGGGCUUAACAAAAAAAUGGCACCAUUCACUCCCAUUAUAAAGCUUGGAAGAGCCAGGAUAUUUUUAUAAUAUAACUCUGAUUGUGUUCAUCUGAAAGAUGAAAGUCACCUAGGAUGGCUUGAGGGUGAGUAAAUUAUGGGAUAAUUUUCAUUUUUGGGUGAACUAUCCCUUUAAUGCACAUCUUUUUCUCUUCACUUUCUGCUAAAAAUCUUCUUGUGUUUGUCAGGAAAUGAAAUAUGAAAUAUAUUUUAUUUUCGGUCACUUCAAAUUGACUUUUGAACUCGUAAGUAGGAGGACUUGAAGGCAGCAUUACUGUACACUGUUACCUAACUGCUUGGAACUGAUGGCAAAACUACAUUACCCAACAUUCCUUUCUUCAAACUCCCUCCAUGUACUCUUGCUAAGGUCAGACUAUAAUGUUUUUUUUUUAUAUAUGAUUGUUGUUGCCUCAAUAUUUAUUGCCCUACAGCCUCGUCCAUCUGAUCAGUCCACAGGUCUCUCUCUCUCUUAUACUUCCUUUCUUCACCCGCUGUAACACACAUUUAGCCUCACACUCUCUCUCUCUCUCUCUCUCUCUCUCGGCGUGGCUGUAGUUCUGUUGUGUUUCGAUGGUCUUUGGAGUGUUAUAGUAGCAGUUCAUCCUUCCAUAAUUCUCUCUGUACGCAGUGAAAGGAGAGACAGCCGAAGUGGCUCCUUUCCUGUGCACUUGUGCUGGGGAACACUUGAAUUAAAUGUACUGUUUUUGUGCUAAAA